AACUUUUGGCAACGGAUCUCUUGGCUCUCGCAUCGAUGAAGAACGCAGCGAAAUGCGAUAAGUAAUGUGAAUUGCAUAAUUCAGUGAAUCAUCGAAUCUUUGAACGCACCUUGCGCUCCUUGGUAUUCCGAGGAGCAUGCCUGUUUGAGUGUCAUUAAUAUAUAUCAAACUUCUCUUGUUUGAGUUGUUUGGAUGUGAGGGUUUGCUGGCCUCUUAAAAGGGGUUCAGCUCUCCUGAAAUGCAUUAGCAGAACAACCGAGUUCAUUUGUGUGAUAACUAUCUACGCUAGUGAAUGUGAAAGGCAGUUCAGCUUUCUAACGGCCUUUGGACAAUUUUGUCAUGAAUGUGACCUCAAAGCAUGUAGGACUACCCGCUGAACUUAAGCAUCUCAAUAAGCGGAGGCU
RNAcentral lists this unclassified non-coding RNA (404 nucleotides) under uncultured Cortinarius. Its description in RNAcentral is "sequence contains ITS2". The stretch from base 1 to 154 matches the Rfam family "5.8S ribosomal RNA". Lineage: Eukaryota; Fungi; Basidiomycota; Agaricomycetes; Agaricales; Cortinariaceae. The record is from RNAcentral.